This 310-nucleotide long non-coding RNA is filed under the name Macaca mulatta (Rhesus monkey). Its description in RNAcentral is "lncRNA (ENSMMUG00000056346.1)". Lineage: Eukaryota; Metazoa; Chordata; Mammalia; Primates; Cercopithecidae. The record is from RNAcentral.
CAGCCAGUUCCCCAAGUAAACUCCCUGCUCACACGCCUGAUAGCUUGUUGGUUCUGUCCCUUUGCGGGACUUUCACUACCACUCUCGAACUCACACACAGAGGAAAGAGUGUUACGGGAGAGAUGGAGCAGUCCACUCCAAGAACAUUCUUAUCCUAUGGAUUACGAGAAUUGCCUGAGACAGUUUGGGGAUGGGCAUAGAACUACGCUAGGAACUUCUUCAAACACUGCUGAGGACUUCACGGCUGAAAGCCAAAUAUUCAGUCCCCCUGGGAUUACAAGAGUGUUGAAGCAACGUUGUGACAUGUCGG